AAAUUGAAGAGUUUGAUCAUGGCUCAGAUUGAACGCUGGCGGCAGGCCUAACACAUGCAAGUCGAACGGUAACAGGAAGCAGCUUGCUGCUUUGCUGACGAGUGGCGGACGGGUGAGUAAUGUCUGGGAAACUGCCUGAUGGAGGGGGAUAACUACUGGAAACGGUGGCUAAUACCGCAUAACGUCGCAAGACCAAAGAGGGGGACCUUCGGGCCUCUUGCCAUCAGAUGUGCCCAGAUGGGAUUAGCUUGUUGGUGAGGUAACGGCUCACCAAGGCGACGAUCCCUAGCUGGUCUGAGAGGAUGACCAGCCACACUGGAACUGAGACACGGUCCAGACUCCUACGGAGGCAGCAGUGGGGAAUAUUGCACAAUGGGCGCAAGCCUGAUGCAGCCAUGCCGCGUGUAUGAAGAAGGCCUUCGGGUUGUAAAGUACUUUCAGCGGGGAGGAAGGUGUUGUGGUUAAUAACCACAGCAAUUGACGUUACCCGCAGAAGAAGCACCGGCUAACUCCGUGCCAGCAGCCGCGGUAAUACGGAGGGUGCAAGCGUUAAUCGGAAUUACUGGGCGUAAAGCGCACGCAGGCGGUCUGUCAAGUCGGAUGUGAAAUCCCCGGGCUCAACCUGGGAACUGCAUUCGAAACUGGCAGGCUUGAGUCUUGUAGAGGGGGGUAGAAUUCCAGGUGUAGCGGUGAAAUGCGUAGAGAUCUGGAGGAAUACCGGUGGCGAAGGCGGCCCCCUGGACAAAGACUGACGCUCAGGUGCGAAAGCGUGGGGAGCAAACAGGAUUAGAUACCCUGGUAGUCCACGCCGUAAACGAUGUCUACUUGGAGGUUGUGCCCUUGAGGCGUGGCUUCCGGAGCUAACGCGUUAAGUAGACCGCCUGGGGAGUACGGCCGCAAGGUUAAAACUCAAAUGAAUUGACGGGGGCCCGCACAAGCGGUGGAGCAUGUGGUUUAAUUCGAUGCAACGCGAAGAACCUUACCUGGUCUUGACAUCCACAGAACUUUCCAGAGAUGGAUUGGUGCCUUCGGGAACUGUGAGACAGGUGCUGCAUGGCUGUCGUCAGCUCGUGUUGUGAAAUGUUGGGUUAAGUCCCGCAACGAGCGCAACCCUUAUCCUUUGUUGCCAGCGGUCCGGCCGGGAACUCAAAGGAGACUGCCAGUGAUAAACUGGAGGAAGGUGGGGAUGACGUCAAGUCAUCAUGGCCCUUACGACCAGGGCUACACACGUGCUACAAUGGCGCAUACAAAGAGAAGCGACCUCGCGAGAGCAAGCGGACCUCAUAAAGUGCGUCGUAGUCCGGAUUGGAGUCUGCAACUCGACUCCAUGAAGUCGGAAUCGCUAGUAAUCGUGGAUCAGAAUGCCACGGUGAAUACGUUCCCGGGCCUUGUACACACCGCCCGUCACACCAUGGGAGUGGGUUGCAAAAGAAGUAGGUAGCUUAACCUUCGGGAGGGCGCUUACCACUUUGUGAUUCAUGACUGGGGUGAAGUCGUAACAAGGUAACCGUAGGGGAACCUGCGGUUGGAUCACCUCCUUA
This 1541-nucleotide ribosomal RNA is filed under the name Salmonella enterica subsp. enterica serovar Heidelberg. RNAcentral describes it as "bacterial SSU rRNA". It matches the Rfam family "Bacterial small subunit ribosomal RNA". The record is from RNAcentral. Lineage: Bacteria; Pseudomonadati; Pseudomonadota; Gammaproteobacteria; Enterobacterales; Enterobacteriaceae.